CGACCCCAGGUCAGGCGGGACCACCCGCUGAGUUUAAGCAUAUCAAUAAGCGGAGGAC
RNAcentral lists this unclassified non-coding RNA (58 nucleotides) under Casearia javitensis. Its description in RNAcentral is "ITS2". The record is from RNAcentral. Lineage: Eukaryota; Viridiplantae; Streptophyta; Magnoliopsida; Malpighiales; Salicaceae.